GUUUUAUAUUCCACGUAAAGCAGCCUUCUUCACAGCCAGCCAGCAGGUACUGCUCUGGGCAGGUGGGGACCAGGGCAAUCCGUAAGGGUACAGACAAACAUUCCAGUACCAGCAGCUGGCUUGCUUUGAAAUUGUAGUCACAGUCUGGAAUUCCAAUAUCCCAGAGCACAAUUCGCUUGUCAUAGGAUGCAGUGAAGAGGUGAGUUUCUCGAGUUGGGCUGAAGCAGACAGUGGCAAUGGGCUUUUUAUGAGCCUUUAUUUCUCCGUAGCAGAAGUCAGCUGCCACAUGAAUCAGUUUGACAAUCCCUCUCCUUCCUGCAGCUGCCAAGAUAUUAUGAGAUUUCUUCCGACUGUCACUGAGUACCAUCGGGAGAGUUGUCCAUGCAACACUGAAGAACUCCUCUGUAGCCACCUUAUACUUCUUCAGCACCACCCCUGUUUCACAAUCGAUCAGACAGACAGACUCCCCUCCACACGUUGCCACAGUUCUGGAACAACUCACAAUGGGAUCUUUCCUGGGUGCACAGUCAAGCAAUGGCUCGAAGACACAGGACCAGAGCUGCGUUUUAAAAUCCUCGCGGCUGUUGCCUUUACUGUGACACUGGAGAAAAUGCAAUGGCUCUGCACUGAAAUCCUCCUUGCCCUUGGAGUUCCUUACUGGGGUCAAGUUAACAACCCCAUUGUCCUGCUCCUGGCUUUUCUGUUCUCCUGUCAGCUGGCUGGAUCUUCUAUUGCUUUGCCCUUUGGGAAACUGCUCUCCGUUCUUAUGUGUCCCUUCAUCUCCCUGCUCAGGGGUUGCCUCUUCGGCUGGCUCAUUCGAUGCUGUUGCUUUAUCAGGAGCUGGGUCAUCCUCCUCUUGACUGGAAUUUCUAGGUACACUCUCCUUCUCAGUUUUUGCCUUGGACUUGGACUUCUUCCUUCCAAAACGUGAUUUUGAACUAUUUCUUUUCCUCUUUCUGGGAGUUACCGUAACCUAUAAGGCAUGUUGUCAGUUUCUGCAGAAGAAGCUUCCUCAAGAUGUGCAGAUGGUUUGCAAGUAAGAAAGAUCCUUUAUUCAAAUCCCACUACCCUCCCAAAGUCACAGACUAGGUUCCAAAAAUCAGACAGCCCAGACUUACAGAGUUCCUAGAGGCAGAAGCUAA
Molecule: long non-coding RNA, 1142 nt
Filed under: Gallus gallus (chicken)
Lineage: Eukaryota; Metazoa; Chordata; Aves; Galliformes; Phasianidae
Source: RNAcentral